This 207-nucleotide ribosomal RNA is filed under the name uncultured bacterium. RNAcentral describes it as "partial 16S ribosomal RNA". It matches the Rfam family "Bacterial small subunit ribosomal RNA", at positions 568 to 774 of the family's 1533-position model. The record is from RNAcentral.
CGUGUAGGCGGUUCGGUAAGUUGGAUGUGAAAGCUCCUGGCUCAACUGGGAGACGACGUUCAAUACUGUCGGACUAGAGGGCGGCAGAGGGAGGUGGAAUUCCCGGUGUAGUGGUGAAAUGCGUAGAUAUCGGGAGGAACACCAGAGGCGAAGGCGGCCUCCUGGGCCGCUCCUGACGCUCAGACGCGAAAGCUAGGGGAGCGAACG